GGCCUAACACAUGCAAGCCGUGCGGUAACAGGAAGAAGCUUGCUUCUUUGCUGACGAGCGGCGGACGGGUGAGUAAUGCCUGGGUAUCUGGCUGAUGGAGGGGGAUAACCGCUGGAAACGGUGGCUAAUACCGCAUGAUAUGGGCGCAAGCCUAUCAAAGUGGGGGAUCUUCGGACCUCGCGCCAACAGAUGAGCCCAGGUGGGAUUAGCUAGUAGGUGAGGUAAUGGCUCACCUAGGCGACGAUCCCUAGCUGGUCUGAGAGGAUGACCAGCCACACUGGGACUGAGACACGGCCCAGACUCCUACGGGAGGCAGCAGUGGGGAAUAUUGCACAAUGGGCGCAAGCCUGAUGCAGCCAUGCCGCGUGUGUGAAGAAGGCCUUCGGGUUGUAAAGCUC
Molecule: ribosomal RNA, 398 nt
Filed under: uncultured organism
Description: bacterial SSU rRNA
Rfam family: Bacterial small subunit ribosomal RNA
Source: RNAcentral